Molecule: ribosomal RNA, 584 nt
Filed under: uncultured bacterium
Lineage: Bacteria
Description: partial 16S ribosomal RNA
Rfam family: Bacterial small subunit ribosomal RNA
Source: RNAcentral
UGGGGAAUUUUGGACAAUGGGCGAAAGCCUGAUCCAGCAAUGCCGCGUGUGUGAAGAAGGCCUUCGGGUUGUAAAGCACUUUUGUCCGGAAAGAAAUCCUUGGCUCUAAUACAGUCGGGGGAUGACGGUACCGGAAGAAUAAGCACCGGCUAACUACGUGCCAGCAGCCGCGGUAAUACGUAGGGUGCAAGCGUUAAUCGGAAUUACUGGGCGUAAAGCGUGCGCAGGCGGUUUGCUAAGACCGAUGUGAAAUCCCCGGGCUCAACCUGGGAACUGCAUUGGUGACUGGCAGGCUAGAGUAUGGCAGAGGGGGUAGAAUUCCACGUGUAGCAGUGAAAUGCGUAGAGAUGUGGAGGAAUACCGAUGGCGAAGGCAGCCCCCUGGGCCAAUACUGACGCUCAUGCACGAAAGCGUGGGGAGCAAACAGGAUUAGAUACCCUGGUAGUCCACGCCCUAAACGAUGUCAACUAGUUGUUGGGGAUUCAUUUCCUUAGUAACGUAGCUAACGCGUGAAGUUGACCGCCUGGGGAGUACGGUCGCAAGAUUAAAACUUAAAGGAAUUGACGGGGUCAUAGCUGUUUCCU